RNAcentral lists this unclassified non-coding RNA (2594 nucleotides) under Amphibalanus amphitrite. RNAcentral describes it as "uncharacterized LOC122383887, transcript variant X11". Lineage: Eukaryota; Metazoa; Arthropoda; Thecostraca; Balanomorpha; Balanidae. The record is from RNAcentral.
GCAGUGGCAGAAACGCGAGAACUGGGAAAUGAUAUUUCAUUUCUCUUCAAAUUUUAAUUUGAGAUGCAUAAAUGAUUGUAUGGUUUUUGUUGAAGUAGGGACUACAUUCAAACGUAAUGUGUACAUGUCAAGUUCAUCAAGUUACUGCUCAGUCUGUUUUGUCACCACAUAAUCCAAGGUCACCUGGAUUGAAGUGAGGUUUGACUUCAACUUGGGGCAUCCAGUAUUUCGAAGAAGCACGCUUAAGCGCAAAGGUCGGUCGGCCAUACCCGGGUGGGCGCAAGCGGGUAGGCGUUCGGUCACUGCUCAGCUGUCAGCAGUAGAUUGUGAUGGGAGGACCGGUGCACGGAGCUGCGCGAUAGUGUAGAUUUGGUGGGGAGACUGUGGUGUGACAGAGGCAUUCCCGCUUGAAGAUAAUUCGGAGAGUAUCAACUUAUGUGCAAAUCUUUGAAGAAGGCUAAACUGUUAACCAAAGUCUCAAAAACUGGAGCUUAUACCAGGGGCAUGCCUGAGCAGCGUGAGGCGGGGCCCGAUGAGCCUCAGCUGGCAUCAGGUGGCUGCUGGUCACCGCAGCAGAGUCACCAGAGUGUGCCGCCUAUGGCAGAGGGACCUCUAGACCUUACCAUGAGGUCAAUGAGCCACCAAAGUUCCACCGACCAACGUGGAAUGGACCUCAGCUUGCCAGACAAAGACUCGCCUGUGGAGGCGUGCUAUACCUGUGGUACGCCAGUGCGCCGCAGUACUCUGCGUGCGUUGUUGGUGAUUGGCCGUCAUCGGUACGGUGACGAGCCCUUCUUCCCCAGCCUCGUCGACCACGCCCGUCCGGUCGGGUCGCGACCUAUGUCACCGGACGGUCGGGUCAACGUAUGCAACAAAUGUCAAACGAGUCUAUUGCAUCAGUGGGACGACUACCAGAAAGAGAACCGGGUCUCUGCCGAGCGACGGAAGUACGCGGUGCACGCGGCCAGCGCACCCCUGCUGGGGGAGUUUGUCUGCUACAUGUGCUGCCUUACCUACUCGGUGGCGUGCCUGAGCCGCUUGCGUGUGACGCCGGGUGCCGCUGGCGAGCACUGCUAUCCGGACGUGCUGCGGCCGGUGACGCCGCCGGGCGCCGAGGGAGUCCGCAGCGGCGCCGUCUCCGUGUGCGUCAACUGCAAGAGGAAGGCGGUGCUGCGGCAGACGCUGCAGCAGAGCCGGCCACUGCCCGCGGACAGUCACUGCUACCGGAUCAUCGAGGAGGCGGUGCGCGGGCAGACCGCCGAGGAGACGCGACCCUCCACCUUCGAAAACAUUCGCGUGCGCCGGCGUGAGGUCGUGUGCAUUUCGUGCAAGCGCACACAUCAGCGAGAUUUCAUGGCGGAGGUGCGCCUGGAGAGCUCCAACCAGGCACUCAUGCACUUCCCGAGACUGGCUCACGAGCCGCGCCCGCCUGGGUCCGUGGUGAAACGCUCGUCAGCACUGGUUUGUGUCCAGUGCCUGCGGGAGCUGCAGAAGCAGUGGGAGGCGUAUGACGCGAACGGCACGCCAGUGGCCAAUCGUGUGUACGCGCCGCGCCGGAGCUCUGUGGGCAGUGGCUCGGACGCGGCUCGCGACUCGCCGCCGGUGCCCUCAGCGUCGCCGCCGGUCAGCCUGGCCUCCGGGAGCAGCCGGUCGGUGGGCUCCGGGUCACCGCCCUCCGGGAGACACUCUCCUCUGGCCGGCGGCCGACCGCUGCCUCUGACCGACCGGAACUCGCCUGUGGCCGAGCGGGGAUCCCCGCUGACCGACCGUCUAUCGGGACCCAUGGAGCGCGCCCGCACCAUGAGCGACUGCCGCACGAUCGAUAGCAGCUCGUCGAGCAGCUCCUCGGGACGGCCGAAGCGGCCCUCUGGCGACGCCUCCACGCGCGCCGCCAAGCGUAGAGCGCCGGCACGCUCGGACGCCUCACCAAAGCCGAUGUCACUGGUAGCACCGUCCACAGUGACAGCUGGAUGCUACGCCUGUCACCAACCCCUCGAAGCGAAUGCCGCUUACGAGGUGCGCACGGAGCCGAACCAGGCAGACGCGUCGGCGCCGUUCUUCCCGCACCUGGCGCAGCAGCGUCACCUGCCCGCGCCCGUCUGUAGCGUGGCGGUGUGCGUGUUCUGCUACCACACACUGGCAGACCAGUGGGCGCGCUACGAGCGACUCUCCAACAAGAUCGACCCGUACAAACGCGAGUACGACACGCACAACUUCAUCUGCUUCGUGUGCAGCGUGCGCACGUACAGGAAGCGUCUGCACGUCAUUGACGUUAAGGACUUUCCGUUCUUGACCGACUCCCACCGGUAUCCGGAGGGAGCGCUGCUCAUCUGCGACCGCACCAAGUCCGUGGUGUGCCGGGACUGCCACGGCACGCUCAACUGCCAGGUCGCCCGUGAGCCGCCUGAGUUUGGGAGGCCAGUGUUGGGCGGUUAAGGUCGCUGAACGUAGCGGCACUGGAAGCGGGUGGCCGUAUUCUCCCAGCGAGGUGAGCUAUAUUGUCCGCCGCCGGGCCGCCCGCGCCGGCGUUCCGCCGGACUUUGCGCGUGGAGAUCAGUUUUCAGGAUUAUGAGCGCUGGAAUCUACCGGUAAAC